GAUGAACGCUAGCUACAGGCUUAACACAUGCAAGUCGAGGGGUAACGAGAGGGAAGCUUGCUUUCCUUGUCGACGACCGGCGCACGGGUGAGUAACGCGUAUCCAACCUGCCCCCAACUAGGGAAUAACCUUGCGAAAGUAAGACUAAUACCCUAUAAUUUCCUCAGAUGUCAUCUGACGAGGAAUAAAGAUUUAUCGGUUGUGGAUGGGGAUGCGUCUGAUUAGCUUGUUGGCGGGGUGACGGCCCACCAAGGCAACGAUCAGUAGGGGUUCUGAGAGGAAGGGCACCCACAUUGGAACUGAGACACGGUCCAAACUCCUACGGGAGGCAGCAGUGAGGAAUAUUGGUCAAUGGGCGGAAGCCUGAACCAGCCAAGUAGCGUGCAGGAUGACGGCCCUAUGGGUUGUAAACUGCUUUUAUACAGGAAUAAAGUUAGCCACGUGUGGUUAUUUGUAGGUACUGUAUGAAUAAGGACCGGCUAAUUCCGUGCCAGCCGCCGCGGUAA
RNAcentral lists this ribosomal RNA (506 nucleotides) under uncultured bacterium. RNAcentral describes it as "partial 16S ribosomal RNA". It matches the Rfam family "Bacterial small subunit ribosomal RNA", at positions 28 to 523 of the family's 1533-position model. The record is from RNAcentral.